GGCGGCGUAGCCAAGUGGUAAGGCAGAAGUCUGCAAAACUUCCAUCCGUCGGUUCGAUUCCGACCGCCGCCUCCA
Molecule: transfer RNA, 75 nt
Filed under: Verrucomicrobiota bacterium
Lineage: Bacteria; Pseudomonadati; Verrucomicrobiota
Description: Verrucomicrobia bacterium (fermentation metagenome) tRNA-Cys
Rfam family: tRNA
About the family: Transfer RNA (tRNA) molecules are approximately 80 nucleotides in length. Their secondary structure includes four short double-helical elements and three loops (D, anti-codon, and T loops).
Source: RNAcentral